This 929-nucleotide ribosomal RNA is filed under the name Klebsiella pneumoniae. RNAcentral describes it as "bacterial SSU rRNA". It matches the Rfam family "Bacterial small subunit ribosomal RNA", at positions 32 to 953 of the family's 1533-position model. Lineage: Bacteria; Pseudomonadati; Pseudomonadota; Gammaproteobacteria; Enterobacterales; Enterobacteriaceae. The record is from RNAcentral.
ACCAAUGGGGCAAGCCUACACAUGCAGUCGAGCGGUAGCACAGAGAGCUUGCUCUCGGGUGACGAGCGGCGGACGGGUGAGUAAUGUCUGGGAAACUGCCUGAUGGAGGGGGAUAACUACUGGAAACGGUAGCUAAUACCGCAUAACGUCGCAAGACCAAAGUGGGGGACCUUCGGGCCUCAUGCCAUCAGAUGUGCCCAGAUGGGAUUAGCUAGUAGGUGGGGUAACGGCUCACCUAGGCGACGAUCCCUAGCUGGUCUGAGAGGAUGACCAGCCACACUGGAACUGAGACACGGUCCAGACUCCUACGGGAGGCAGCAGUGGGGAAUAUUGCACAAUGGGCGCAAGCCUGAUGCAGCCAUGCCGCGUGUGUGAAGAAGGCCUUCGGGUUGUAAAGCACUUUCAGCGGGGAGGAAGGCGAUAAGGUUAAUAACCUUGUCGAUUGACGUUACCCGCAGAAGAAGCACCGGCUAACUCCGUGCCAGCAGCCGCGGUAAUACGGAGGGUGCAAGCGUUAAUCGGAAUUACUGGGCGUAAAGCGCACGCAGGCGGUCUGUCAAGUCGGAUGUGAAAUCCCCGGGCUCAACCUGGGAACUGCAUUCGAAACUGGCAGGCUAGAGUCUUGUAGAGGGGGGUAGAAUUCCAGGUGUAGCGGUGAAAUGCGUAGAGAUCUGGAGGAAUACCGGUGGCGAAGGCGGCCCCCUGGACAAAGACUGACGCUCAGGUGCGAAAGCGUGGGGAGCAAACAGGAUUAGAUACCCUGGUAGUCCACGCCGUAAACGAUGUCGAUUUGGAGGUUGUGCCCUUGAGGCGUGGCUUCCGGAGCUAACGCGUUAAAUCGACCGCCUGGGGAGUACGGGCCGCAAGGUUAAAACUCAAAUGAAUUGACGGGGGCCCGCACAAGCGGUGGAGCAUGGUGGUUUAAUUCG